UGAGGAAUAUUGGUCAAUGGGCGCAAGCCUGAACCAGCCAUCCCGCGUGCAGGAAGACGGCCCUAUGGGUUGUAAACUGCUUUUCCAGGGGGAGAAUUUUUCUGUCGUGACAGGAAUUGACGGUACCCUGGGAAUAAGCAUCGGCUAACUCCGUGCCAGCAGCCGCGGUAAUACGGAGGAUGCGAGCGUUAUCCGGAUUUAUUGGGUUUAAAGGGUGCGUAGGCGGAUUGAUAAGUCAGUGGUGAAAACCCGGAGCUUAACUGUAGAACUGCCGUUUGUACUGUUCGUCUUUAGUUUUGUUAAGGUAGGCCGAAUUUUUUAUUUAGCGGUUAAAUGCCUAGAAUUUUCCACGAACAACCGUUUCCAAAGCCGCCUUCUUGGCCAUUACUGACGCUGAUGCACGAAAGCGUGGGGAUCGAACAG
RNAcentral lists this ribosomal RNA (423 nucleotides) under uncultured bacterium. RNAcentral's name for it is "bacterial SSU rRNA". It matches the Rfam family "Bacterial small subunit ribosomal RNA", at positions 355 to 775 of the family's 1533-position model. The record is from RNAcentral.